UCAUAAUUAGUUGUCUUAUAAUUCGCAUUUUUUUUUUGGUCAUACUACUGCUUCUUAACUCUAAUGACUGUCCACGUCUUGCCUCGUCUUUGAGUUGUGCGAGAUGCCUGAGCCUGGCUGAUUGUGUGUGUUUGUUAUAUUGGGCUUGUACGUCUUUUUUGUCCCUCUCUCGGUCCGUAGUGCCCUCUUGUGCCCCUACCUCAUGCCAGUGGUGCCCGACCCCCACCCCUUCAUCUCUCUUCCUUUUCUGUCAACCUAGCCCUUCGCUUUUUUCGUGCUUAACAGUAAAUAUCUGUACAAAGGACCAAAAGUUGAGAUUUUCUAUGAUAUAUAUAGCUAUAUAAAUAUAUAUAGAUAUUAUAUUCAGACAAAUUCUACUGAAGACGCAACAGAUGCAUAUUCUGUUUCUUGUUUCUUUUUCUUUACCUUUUCUAAUAUGGCUAAACCGUUAACGUGCCGCAGGUGGCAUUUAUGUUUUUCACCCCCCACCCCCCCACACACACACAUACACAGUUGAAGGAGACUGUCGGCUCAGAGUUAGCAUCAAGCUAACACCUCCUAGCUUAAGUUAGCUGCUGACAGACCUUAAGAGUCUGCCUUUGCUGUGAUGGUCACUGGUGGCCAAGGGCAGCUGGGUUUAUGACCCACCUCCCUCACUGAGCUCUUAAGAUGUGAUCUUAAGAUCAUGUGGCUAUCAGUCGGGCAGACUAUGAUUUACACUGUAAGCUAGUUGUAUACUUGACCUGUUCUUGACCUGUUGUUGUUGUUGUUGUACACUUGACCUGUUCUUUGAUAGCUGUUACACAAUUAGAAGAGAAAAAAACACAACACACUUCUACAUGGCAUAAGAUGAUGAACUGGAAAUACUCCUUACUACUGAUCAUUUUCCUAAAUAGUUGUGUUUUUGUUUUUGUUUUCCUCAAUCAGGAGAGCUGUCUGCACGAACGCCUUUAGUUCUGUGUCUUUUUGAUUGAUUGUUGUCCAUACAGGAAUGUUGUAUUCACUUGAAAUGUAUAUUUAUGUUUAUUGAGGGGAAAAAAGACUACUGGUUUGAGAUGAUUUUCCUUUGUAAUGAUGUGACAAAGCCACCACCACCACCCCCCCCCCCCCCCCUUUGAUUAAUAACCCAUACCCCAAGCUGAAUCUUAAGGUUUUUUGUUUGUUUGUUUUGAGGCCACUCAUUUGUGUUUGACACAUGAUUUUUUUUUGUCUGAAAAGUGGUGGUAAUUGUGUGCGAGCCCAAUGUUUAUGAAGAUCUUUAUGGAACGUGAUGCUCCUCAAUGCAGCUUUGAAUUAACGACCAAAUGGAUCAUCAUCAUCACAAUGCCUUGCAAAGUAGGACUAUUGUAUUUAUUGUCAAAUUGAGGUGCAGUUUGUGAGUGUGUGUGUGUGUGUGUGUGUGUGUGUGUGUGUGUGUUUUCACUUUCAGUAGGGGAAGCAAAAGCCCUGAAAAACUACUGAACUGUCCAGCCACUGUGCAGCGAAAGACAACCUGUCUGCUGUUCUCUUAUGUUCAAAUUACUGCUGUAAAUUCUGGUGUCCAAUCUGGAAACGGCUCAUAGAAACUGAUUAGUUGGACAUGAACCGAUUUAUGUAUUGAUUAUGUGCAUUAGACUCCUGAAAGUGCUUUUUUUUUAUUGGUAUUGCAUGCCUUUCUUUUUGUGCUGCUAGAAAUCAUGACUUUCCUUUCAUUAGUUGUUUUUAUUUGUUCUCUUCUUUUUCAAACAUGUGCCAGACAGUGGAGAAUAAGUAUAAAGUUGGCAGCCUCAGAAAAGCUUGACUGCUGCAAGAGUCCUAGUCUGACUACUCUCUCUAUACACUGGCUCCAAGUUCAAUGUGAAGAUGACCUCUCAUAAUUAGCAUUUAGAGAAAUGGGAUGUUGAGGAAAAAAAAUUGGCCUGCUCUUUUUUUGUGUGUGUUGUGGCACUUGUCUUGUAAUGAACUACAAUUUUAGCAGGCAUGUUUUAAUUUGAAAUGUAUCGAUUCUUUUCUCUAUGUUUUAAGAAGAAAAAAAUCACACACACACACACCCACUACAUGUGGAAAUCAAUGCAAUGCAAUUUUUUCAACAUCUCAGCAACAUAUCAAAACCCAUUUAGCAAACUGCAACCCAAGAGCAGGGCCCUCCCACCGAGAGGCGCUGCCCCUCCUACCGUCAGUGGCAGGCAGCUCGAGGCGAGAGGAGACCCCAGUGCCUUUGAUUCUCAUCCUCACCUCCAGGACCAGAGAGAACUGCCUGCUGCCACAACCGCCACCUCCCAGCCCAGCCCAGCCCAGCCACCUCCCAGGAACCUACAGCCUGCCUGGGGCUGGGAAUAGGGACAGUGCCAGUACCAGGGCCUGGAUCUAGGGGCACCACAGCCAGCCAUGCCCCAGUGUGUAGGUACAUUCCCCCACCCAAACAUGAGGUUCAGGUCUGCCUGCGAAACACCUCAAGCUCCUCCAGACUUGUAAGUAGUGGAUGGCAGUCAUGUAUGUGGUUUAUACCACUAUUCGUGGGGGAACGCCAUUCCCCCCUCCACAGUGAAAAAAAGUGGAACAUUCUGGACACUCAUGAUGAUGGUGCAAACUGAACUGGGAUAUGCCAAUAAGGCCACUGCACUAUCGCCAUCAUGACCAGUUUUGAUACCUUUUUUUUCCCCUCCUUUCUUGUGUUUGUUUUUCUUCUUUCUCUCUUUAUAAUUUAAUGGAAGUGGUAUGCUUGCUUUGUCAAGUUUCUGUGUCCGGGAAUAUUUUUAAGUGCCAUUUGACGGUUUACUUAGUGAGUGGUUGCCCGCGGUAGCGCAUUCUAAUGCAAGCACAAGCAUUAUGACACUCUGGGAGGCCACUGUGAGGUCAUCCCUCUCUCCCUCCCAGGGACAGUCUUAGUUGUAAAUAUAAAGAUAAAAAAAAAGUGAAAGGUUAUUUAUUUACAGUCUCUUUCUUUAACUGUCAUAAUGACUGUUUAAUUUUUUUUUGAAUGUUGGCAAGUGUACAUUGUGAUAUAUUUUUUUUUUUUCUUUCUUUCUUUCUUCUGGUUUUUGGAUGAUGUAUGGUAUUUUGCAUACAUAUGUUUUUUUUGUGUGUGCUGUUUCAAGUUACCUCUUAGUAUAUUAUAUCCUCUGAGAAUUGGUAAGAGCUAACCAAUAUGUGUAGAGUGAUUUGUAUUGUGUAUUUUACAUAAAAGGAUAACAAACUGGGGAACUUUUAUAUUUAUAAAGGCAUAUAUUAACAUUUAGUGUGUCGUUAUGAGGAAAAUAUAGGAAAUAUUAAAGACACAUGUAGUUUGUUUUUCUGAAUAUUUCAGACUUGAGCUCAGGCUAGCUUAUUAGUGUUGUUUUCUUAAAAUCUGUGGCUUGUCUUUCAAUUAAUAAACAUUUUUCUUGUUGAAAGUAGUCUGGUAUGGAGAUAACUGGUGUCCUUUCAAAUGAAAUGCCUCACCUCCACAUACAUUUGACACCACAUACCUGAAUACUCUCUGAAACAGGCAGGAGUAAGUGCAAGUAAUGCAUUUCUACAAAAACAUUCACCUCCAGCUGUUUGCAGUCCACCUGAAGUCACUCUGACAGGGCCAGUAAGUGUCUUUGCACCGCAUCAAAAUGUUUUGCUAUACUUGAAACAUUUGACACCACAGCACACCCUCGUUUUCUUUUGGUUGGCAAGCAUGAUGUUGCUGUAGUAGACAGAUGAUUUACGCAUUAGGUGAAAUUGUCUUAAAUUAA
This is a long non-coding RNA of Clupea harengus (Atlantic herring), 3701 nucleotides long. NCBI's taxonomy places the organism in Eukaryota, Metazoa, Chordata, Actinopteri, Clupeiformes, Clupeidae. The record is from Ensembl.